RNAcentral lists this long non-coding RNA (5239 nucleotides) under Nicotiana benthamiana. Its description in RNAcentral is "long non-coding RNA (NBEN_LNC034525)". The record is from RNAcentral. Lineage: Eukaryota; Viridiplantae; Streptophyta; Magnoliopsida; Solanales; Solanaceae.
GAGAUAAGAAAAUUGAGAGAGCAGCUGUCAGAUGUAUAUCAGGCUUGGGUCUCCGAUCGACCUCCACCCCAAGGUCCAUCCGAGGGAAUUUCCUUCAUACCUAUGGCUACUCAAACACCACUCCAUGCAACAAGCAAUUACAUUCUACCACCAGAGUAUGUGCCAAACUACAGCCUCCAUACUGCUCCCGGUGCCUCUAACAUGAGACCUCCAGUCACACCAGUCAAGAACACCCCUCUCGUCGUGUUUGGCGCAUCGGUAUAUAAAAUCCUGCCACCACCUCCUCCUGUGAUGAGGCCAAAUAAUGAGCCACCAACUCAUGUUUAUAAUGGCCAAUACUGUUCUUCAAAUAUGUCUUUCGGGGUCUCGGCUCCAUGCAAUCAGACUCCACAGUAUGAGUCACAAGUGGAAAAUUAAAAGCCUGCCAAAACGGUUAAGCAUGAUGAGAUGACUAGAAAGAUAAGAAGUCUUGAAUAGAAUAAAAAGAAUAUACAGGGACUGGGCGGUCACAAAAGUGUUUUAUUUAGUGAUCUAUAUAUGUUCCCUCACAUCCAUUUGCCACAAGUGUUUAAGACCCAAGAAUUUGAGAAAUAUGAUGGACAUGGCGACCCUAUCACCCACUUGAAAAGGUACUGCAAUCAUCUGAGGGGUGCAGGAGGAAUGGAAGAGCUGCUGAUGGCUUACUUUGGGAAAGCCUUGUGGGUAUAGCUUCUGAAUGGUUCAUCGACAAAGACAUCUCUCAUUGGGAUGUUUGGGAUGACAUGGCCCAAGAGUUCGUCAAAUUGUUUUGCUACAACAUUGAUAUUGGGCUGGAUCGUAAUACCUUGUCCAACAUGAAGAAAAAGCCGACCGAAAGUUUUACGGAGUAUGCCAUCAAGUGGAGGGAGAAAACGGUUAGAGUUAAGCCACCCAUGGAUAAACACAACUUGAUUAGUGUUUUUCUGGAGGCACAAGAGCCUGAUUACUUUUAGAACAUGAUGUCCACGAUGGGUAGACCUUUUAGCAGAAGCAAUCAAAAUAGGGGAGAUGGUCAAAAAUGGCAGAAUUGUAAGCCAAGCUACUCUCAAAAACAACCACCCAAGCUAUCUAAAAUGGGUCGGGAGGUUUGGCAAAUAGAAAGAAGAGAGAUGAAGUGUCCAUGAUGGCUUCGGGAUCUAGGGAAGUUCAAAGAGGGGCAUCACACCCUUAUGUUCAAGUUCAGCAGGGGCAAUCCAGCUACCCUCAACAUUACUAUCCCCCGCCAAUUCCUCAAUACUCUAUGGGCCCAUCACAAUAUACAGUGUUCAAUGCUCAAUCAUAUGCUCAGCCUCCAAAUCAGCAGGUACGAGCAUCAGCACCAAGUGCUCCCCGACCUUGCCAAUUCCUCAAUGCUAUGUGGGACCACCACAAUAUACAAUUUUCAAUGCUCAAUCAUAUGCUCGGCCUCCCAAUCAGCAAGUACCGGCACCAGCUCCAAGGGCCCCCCGACCUCAACAGCAAAAUUUUCGGGCACCUUACAACACUUCUCCCAGGCAGGAUUAUGGUCGAGAGAAGAGGCUAGCAGAAAAAAAAUUCACUUCAUUGGCCUAAUCAUACUCUAGUCUAUUCUAGAAACUGAAGUAAAUGGGUGUGAUUGGACCAAUCGCUCCCCACCACAUGCAUCCUGAUUCGCAUGGAUUUAAAGAAAAUGCUAGAUGUGAAUAUCAUUCAGGUGCUCCGGGGCAUAACACUGAUGACUGUUGGACUUUGAAAAGAGCCAUAGAGAGGCUCAUUUCUAAAAAAUUGAUUGUAGUAUCAAAUGGCGAGGACCCUCAUAAUGCGACAAAUAACUCGUUGCCAACACACAAUGAUGAAUUCAUUUUCUGGGAAUGAUCGGAUGAGAUCAAUAAUACAAGCCGGUCGGUUGAGAAAAAAUGAUAGUGGGAGUAAUUCAAGAAGGAACAAAUUUGGAAGUAAGUCCAAGCCGAGAUGUGCCGUAAAUUGUGAAAGGCGACCCAAACACAGAAAAGGUAACCUUAUGUGUACCUAAGGUACCAAGGAUGGAGGUUCGCUCCAAUGUUCCAAGCCCAAUGUUGUAUGUCCUUGGAGGCCACCCCAUCACAAUGCAGAAUCAGGGAGGUACGAAUGGUAUAACAGAGCCAAUCAUAAUCAAACCCAUCGUGCAACCCCCUUGGACAAAUAUGAAAACCAUUUCUUGGAACUAUAAAAAAAUUGUGAUGACCUACAAAGGCAAGGAAAUCAUAAAGGAAGUGGCGGAAACUGGAGGUUUGAUCCGGUAGGGAAGGUGUCACUCUCCAGACGAGUUGAGGAAGGCCAAUUUGCAAUAAAGAAACCCAUCACUAAAGCAGAGGCGGAAGAGUUUUUGAAGAAAAUGAAAGUUCAGGAUUACUCAAUCAUUGACCAACUAAGAAAGACUCCUACCCAAAUCUCUCUACUAUCUCUGCUCAUACAUUCCAAAGAGCAUGCCCGUAUACUAGUAAGGUCCUGGACGAGGCACAUAUCUUAGAGGAGACCACAUUGAAUAAGUUAGAGAAGAUGGCCAACAGAUUUUUUGAGGUGAACAGAAUCUCCUUUACUGAUGAUAAACUUCCCGAGGAAGGAGCCAGGCACAAUAGGGCUUUGAACUUGAUGGUCGAAUGUGAAGGGCAUUAUGUAAGAAGAUGGCCAACAGAUUUUUUGAGGUGAACAGAAUCUCCUUUACUGAUGAUAAACUUCCCGAGGAGGGAGCUGGGCACAAUAGGGCUUUGAACUUGAUGGUGAAAUAUGAGGGGCAUUAUGUAAAGUGAGUCAUGGUUGAUGGAGGCUUAAGUGUAGAUGUAUGGCCUGUCUCUACCUUGCAAAGCAUAAAGAUCAAUACAGACAGAAUCCGACCUAGUAAUGUUCGCAUCCGGGCUUUUGAUGGCUCAACUAAAGAUACCAUUGGGGAAAUCAAUCUCACCAUGAUGAUUUGGCCGGUUGACUUUGAGAUUGUCUUCGAAGUAGUGGACAUGGCCACUUCUUAUAACUUUCUUCUUGGAACGCCAUGGAUCGAUACGGCCCUAGCUGUGCCAUUCACCUUGUAUCAGAUGCUUAAAUUAUAACAUGACAGGUAAGAAAUUAUUUGUUCACGGGGAAGAAUAGUCUUCCAUUUAUGAAGACCCGUUAAUCCCCUACAUUGAGGCUAAUGAAGGGUCUGAGUCCAUUAUCUAUCAGGCUUUUGAAGUGGUUGUUGUGGACCAUGUCAAGGAAGGAAAGCCCAUUCUGCACCCUCAUCUUUCCUCUACAUCAAUACUGGUGGCUGCAAUUAUGAUAAGACAAGGUUAUGAACCAGGAAAAGGCUUGGGGAAUCAUUACAAGGAAUUUCAGAGCCUAUUACCCAAGAAGAUGAAAACAAAGCGAAGCACCGCAAAAAGUAUGGAUGGGUCUUAUAACAACCUAUCCCUCAUAUUUUCUACACUUUUGUCAAGCCACCGACUCCAAGAGGGUCAAAAUUCCUCUGCGCAUGCAAACAUUGAUAAAAUUUGCCAUGGCCUCAGCCAGAUGUUUUCUGAAGUGAAUAUGAUCCAGGAUGGUGAAGGCACUAGUCGUGCCGAUAUGCAACUAACUGACCCAGACACCAUGCUCACCAACUGGGAAGCAACUCCUCUCCCCACAAGGAAGGAGUCUUGGUAGUUUGCUUUUGCAGCUUUUUUUGUGUUGUAUUUUGUGUUACUUUCAGGGUUGUAAUCCAAACAUCUCAAUAUAAUUGUUUUAUUAUGAUGUUAACCCUUCUAUCUUUCGAAUUCAAUGAAAUGCAGUUCAGUUUCCAUUAAGUUUUCAAUAUUUUCCUUUUCCUAAUUCCUGUCAUUUUAUUUCCAUUUUAGUUUUUUUAAUGCCUGCUUUAAUAACAUGACAUGGAUGCAAAAUUAACGACCAUAUCUUAAAAAGCUGUCUAAUAUCAAAAUAACCCAUCAAGAGGUUGAAUACGAUAAAGAUGAGGUUGUUGAAGAAAUAAAAAGAGAAUUGGAAAAAUUUGAAAACAAGCAUAAGCCAAACCUCAAUGAAACUGAGCCGAAUAAUAUCGAAAGUCCAUAAGAAGUUAGAGAAACAAAGAUAAGCAUUCACACCGAGCAAAAAACUAGAGAUGCCUUGAUUCAACUUUUAUUUCAAUAUAGAGAUGUGUUUGCUUGGUCUUACGAUUAUAUGCCGGGUUUAAGUAUUGAUCUGGUGGUUCAUAAGCUUCUUAUGUAUAUUAAUUCUCCACCAGUACAACAAAAAAAACAAAAAAUCAAAACAUACAUGAGUGACAAAAUCAAAGAGGAAAUAAUGAAGCAAUCGAGCGCCAAUGUGGUCAGAGCUGUCUGAUACACCACUUAGGUGGCGAAUGUUAUCCCCGUGCCGAAAAAGGUUGGAAAGACCAGAAUUUGUGUUGACUAUAGGGACCUGAACAAAGCAAGUCCAAAGGAUAAUUUUCCUUUACCAAAUAUCCACAUUCUUGUUGAAUGUAAUGUUUCCUUACUUCAUCUCGUAUUCUAGGGUUAUAGUCAGAAAUAGGUAUUCUUGCUCCUGGAUCGCUUUUAAGUGACCCCAGAUCGAGUUUAUUUAUAAGAUAGGAAAGAUUGGCAUUCGCUUGGAUCAAGGACAACUAGGACUUGGUUGAGAAUGAUCCAAUCUCGUGACAAAUUUAUCCAUCUCAAUUCAGUUCCUAUAAAAUAGAAGUUCAUUUCUGUGAGAAAUAUAGAUCAAUUUCGACUAGGUCAUACCAGCAAUAAGUUUAGUUAUUUUAAAUAACUCAACCUUCCCUAAUAUCUUAGCCAUCGUUAAAAUAGAGUUAAUUUUGAAUUUUCCUUGAUCAAAAUUAUUUGGGAUGUUCUUUCCAUGAUACUAAAUUCUACAGUGAAACCAGGUAAGAGGCAUUUGAUUUUCAAACACACACAAAGAAAUACAUAACAAAAAAAUCAAAAUAGUGACAAUAAAAUUUAGCAAGAACACUGAAAUUCAACUAAAUACAAAAUCAAAAUAGAGCAAGAACAUAUAUUUGAUGGGGAAAAAAAUCACAUAGGUUAAGAAAUAAACAUGAGGAGGUGAGAAAACUUUACAAUGGUGGGCGUAGAGCAAUGGCCAGUGAGGUAUGGAGCAUCCGCAGAGAUAAAGAAAAAUAAAUGCUACAGUCUAAGGGAUUUGGGGAAAGUGGCGUGAAGAAGCAUCGAGAAUUGAAGCGAGAAGAAGAAUUGAAAAAAUAGUGGCGUGAAGAAGUGGGGAAGGGGAAAGUGGCGUAAGGUAAGGGAUAUGUGAAUUGGGG